RNAcentral lists this ribosomal RNA (442 nucleotides) under uncultured bacterium. RNAcentral describes it as "partial 16S ribosomal RNA". It matches the Rfam family "Bacterial small subunit ribosomal RNA", at positions 338 to 795 of the family's 1533-position model. The record is from RNAcentral.
CCUACGGGAGGCAGCAGUGGGGGAUAUUGGUCAAUGGGCGCUACCCUGAUCCAGCGACGUAGCGUGAGUGAUGAAUUCCCUCUGUAUGGUAAGCUUCUUUUGUAUGGAAGUAAAAUUGACUGUGUCUGCUUCUUAUCCUCUGGCUUAAUACGUGCCAGCAGCUGCGGGCGUACGGAGGGGCUCAGUGUUAUCCGGAAUUAUGGGGUGUACCGGGUGCGUUGACGUUGAUGUAAGUCUGGUGUGAAAGGUGGGGGCUCAACACUAGGACUGCACUGGACACUAGGUGACUGGAGGACAGUAGAGGUAGGCGGAAUUCCUAGUGUAGCGGUGAAAUGCGUAGAUAUUAUGAGGAACGCCGGUGGUGAAGGCAGCUCGCUGGACUGUAACUGACGUGGAGGCUCGAAAGCGUGGGGAGCAAACAGGAUUAGAUACCCCGGUAGUC